This 1948-nucleotide ribosomal RNA is filed under the name human gut metagenome. Its description in RNAcentral is "bacterial LSU rRNA". It matches the Rfam family "Bacterial large subunit ribosomal RNA", at positions 1 to 1973 of the family's 2925-position model. The record is from RNAcentral.
GAAAGUAAGCAAGGGCAGACGGUGGAUGCCUUGGCUCUCGGAGGCGACGAAGGACGUGAUAAGCUGCGAAAAGCUCGGGGGAGGCGCAAAUAGCCGUUGAUCCCGGGAUAUCCGAAUGGGGCAACCCGGCAGGCUGAAGGCCUGUCAUCCCGUAAGGGAGGCGAACGUGGGGAACUGAAACAUCUAAGUACCCAUAGGAGGAGAAAAUAAACAAUGAUUCCGUAAGUAGUGGCGAGCGAACACGGAAGAGCCCAAACCCAUGUCGUCUAGGCGACACGGGGGUUGUAGGACCACGACGUGGCAAGAUAGAGUCAAGUGGAACGCCUUGGAAAGGGCGACCGUAGAGGGUGAUAGUCCCGUACACGACUGACGAUUGAAGCCUAGUGGCAUCCUGAGUAGCGCGGGGCACGAGAAAUCUUGCGUGAAACAGCGGGGCCCAUCCCGUAAGGCUAAAUACUCCCGAGAGACCGAUAGCGAACCAGUACCGUGAGGGAAAGGUGAAAAGAACCCCGAGCAGGGGAGUGAAAUAGACCCUGAACCCGUCUGCCUACAAGCGGUCGGAGCGUUGUUAUGACGUGACGGCGUGCCUUUUGCAUAAUGAACCUACGAGUUACCUUCCCCGGCAAGGUUAAGUACCUAAGGUACGGAGCCGAAGCGAAAGCGAGUCUGAAGAGGGCGGCCAGUCGGGGGGGGUAGACGCGAAACCGAGUGAUCUACCCUUGGCCAGGUUGAAGGUUGGGUAACACCAACUGGAGGACCGGAUGGGUAAGCGUUGAAAAGCUUUCCAAUGAGCUGAGGGUAGGGGUGAAAGGCUAAUCAAACUCGGAGAUAGCUCGUACUCCCCGAAAUGCAUUUAGGUGCAGCCUCUUUAUAGUAUAUCGUGAGGUAGAGCGACUGAUUGGAUGCGAGGGCUUCACCGCCUAUCAAGUCCAGAUAAACUCCGAAUGCGCGAUAUAUAUUUACAGGGAGUGAGGGCGCGGGUGCUAAGGUCCGCGUCCGAGAGGAGAAGAAUCCAGACCACCGGCUAAGGCCCCCAAAUGAUCGUCAAGUUGAACUAACGAGGUCGGAUCGCAGAGACAGCUAGGAUGUUGGCUUGGAAGCAGCCAUUCAUUUAAAGAGUGCGUAACAGCUCACUAGUCGAGCGAUCUGGCGUGGAUAAUAAUCGGGCAUAAACGAUCUGCCGAAGCCGUGGAUGUCGUAAGACAUGGUAGGGGAGCAUUCCAUGCGGCGUCGAAGAUGAGGGAUGACCCUUGUUGGAGCGCAUGGAAAAGCAAAUGUAGGUAUGAGUAACGAUAAGGGGGGCGAGAAACCCCCCCGCCGAAAGACCAAGGUUUCCUGAUCAACGCUAAUCGGAUCAGGGUGAGUCGGGACCUAAGGCUAAGCCGAACGGCGACGCCGAUGGAAGAAUGGGUUAAUAUUCCCAUACUGCCUCAUGGAGUGACGUGGAGACGGAGAAGUGACAGUCCUGCCGGCUGACGGAAUAGCCGGUUGAAGGGUGUAGGAGUCGAUCAUGGUAGGCAAAUCCGCCGUGAGAUCCGAACCUGAGAGUAUACGGAGCGCUUGCGCGACGUAAUAUGGACGUAACCAUGCUCCCAAGAAAAUCCGCUAAACUUAUCCAUGCGGCACCCGUACCGUAAACGGACACACGUGGUCGGGUUGAGAAUACUGAGGCGCUCGAGUGACUCACGGUUAAGGAACUAGGCAAAUUGACCCUGUAACUUCGGGAUAAAGGGUCCUCGUCGUAAGGCGAGGCGCAGAGAAUAGGUCCAGGCAACUGUUUAACAAAAACACAUGGCUGUGCUAAAUGGAAACAUGACGUAUACAGCCUGACACCUGCCCGGUGCUGGAAGGUUAAGAGGAGAUGUCAUCGCAAGAGAAGCGUUGAAUUGAAGCCCCAGUAAACGGCGGCCGUAACUAUAACGGUCCUAAGGUAGCGAAAUUCCUUGUC